AGCAGUCGCCGCGGGAAUACGUAGGGUGCAAGCGUUAAUCGGAAUCACUGGGCGUAAAGCGUGCGCAGGCGGUUUGUUAAGACAGAUGUGAAAUCCCCGGGCUUAACCUGGGAACUGCAUUUGUGACUGGCAAGCUAGAGUCUGGCAGAGGGGGGUGGAAUUCCGCGUGUAACAGUGAAAUGCGUAGAUAUGUGGAGGAACACCAGUGGCGAAGGCGACUCUCUGGGCUGUAACUGACGCUGAGGCGCGAAAGCGUGGGGAGCAAACAGGAUUAGAUACCCCUGUAGUCCCUGUCUCUUAUAC
Molecule: ribosomal RNA, 303 nt
Filed under: uncultured bacterium
Lineage: Bacteria
Description: partial 16S ribosomal RNA
Rfam family: Bacterial small subunit ribosomal RNA
Source: RNAcentral